GACGAACGCUGGCGGCGUGCUUAACACAUGCAAGUCGAACGGAAAGGCCUCUUUCGGGGGGUACUCGAGUGGCGAACGGGUGAGUAACACGUGAGUAACUUGCCCUUGACUUUGGGAUAACUUCAGGAAACUGGGGCUAAUACCGGAUAGGAGCUCCUGCUGCAUGGUGGGGGUUGGAAAGUUUCGGCGGUUGGGGAUGGACUCGCGGCUUAUCAGCUUGUUGGUGGGGUAGUGGCUUACCAAGGCUUUGACGGGUAGCCGGCCUGAGAGGGUGACCGGCCACCUUGGGACUGAGAUACGGCCCAGACUCCGACGGGAGGCAGAAGUGGGGAAUAUUGCACAAGGGGUGGAAGCCUGAUGCAGCAACGCCGUGUGCGGGAUGACGGCCUUCGGGUUGUAAACCGCUUUCGCUCAUGACGAAGCUUUGUGUGACGGUAGUGGGUAAAGAAGCACCGGCUAACUACGUG
Molecule: ribosomal RNA, 467 nt
Filed under: uncultured bacterium
Lineage: Bacteria
Description: partial 16S ribosomal RNA
Rfam family: Bacterial small subunit ribosomal RNA
Source: RNAcentral